UUUACUCCAUUAGCUAUUGAAAAGGUAAUUUAGUUGGCGACUGACAAUUUUAUAAUAAACAAGUUAGUUUUUACAGAGCUGACAGAAGUUGACAUCGCUGAGAAAUCUAUAUCAGAUCAAAAUAGUGCACGUGACUCAGACGAAUAGAAAUAAUGUUGGCGCAUGCGUACAAUCACUCGUUCGAAUUUGGGGGUCCCGAUCUCGAUCCGAGUUGCAAUCUGAUGAGUGAGACACACCACACAUGGAUAGGAGACUUGUGAAAGCAGUGGAGGACAACAAAGUCGAUGAGGUGGAAGCUCUUUUGAAGUCAGGCGCUUCGCCUGAUGCGUGUGGUAGUAAUGGAUGGCCUGUACUUGUUACAGCUUGUAUAAAAGGCAGCAAUUCCAUCGUACAACAUUUGUUACAGAAAGGAGCAAAUGUUAACAAAGCAGAACCUAAUGUAAGUGUUGAGAGUGAAUG
Corticium candelabrum is the source of this 459-nucleotide long non-coding RNA. RefSeq lists it as uncharacterized. NCBI's taxonomy places the organism in Eukaryota, Metazoa, Porifera, Homoscleromorpha, Homosclerophorida, Plakinidae. The record is from RefSeq and is a predicted model, not a curated record. The transcript is spliced from 3 exons.